Elaeis guineensis (African oil palm) is the source of this 761-nucleotide non-coding RNA. The record is from RefSeq and is a predicted model, not a curated record. Lineage: Eukaryota; Viridiplantae; Streptophyta; Magnoliopsida; Arecales; Arecaceae.
CCCCAUCAUUCAAGCUAUCGAUGACAGAAAAUUAGAUAGACGCACCAUCUUCCGAUGAGCCCUUACCCUGCGUCAUUCUCUCUCGUAGUUCUAGAAACGGAUCGAAUAGCUUGUGGGGACAAAAACAAAGAAAAGAAAAGGGGUACGUGAAAAUUCUAUAAGAAUAUGAGAGAUAUCGAAUCUACCAUCUUCGAGAAGAAAGAACGCGUCUAUGAAGACCUGGACUUCGAGCGUCUGCGUCCGUAAAAUAAUAUAAGAAGCCGUUGCAGUUGCAAGCUCCCAGGCUACAACGGAGGCAUGGAGUCGCGAAGAGCUUCCCUCUUCUUCCUGCUGCUCUUGGUUUGCGUCCAGGUUCACAUCUCUAGGGGUGCAGAAGCCAGGCCACUUCCCUCUAUCAAACAAGAAAGAUAUGUCGAAGUAUUGGAGUCACUGGGUCUGAACUGCAGGUGCUGCGACGGAGCAGGAGGCGAGUGCAGGACCACCUGGGAUUCCACUUGUGCUAAACUGGAUUGCCUUCCCUGGAAAUUCUUGUGAUCAUGGCAUGACUUUUGAAGAGACUGUAAUUAGAAGCACCAAAUAAUACUGCGAAACAUACUUGUAGUGAAAAAAGUAAAAUAAAUAAGCAUUGAAUAGCAUGUAGAACUUGAAGAAAACUUUAUAAAUGCGCACACAGGUUUGUGGAAUCGAUCUGUAUCACGACUACUCAUUUAUCAUUAUGCAAAUCAUGAAAACUAUAGACUUAAGGCUAUGAUUGAAGAAAA